This 512-nucleotide ribosomal RNA is filed under the name uncultured bacterium. RNAcentral describes it as "partial 16S ribosomal RNA". It matches the Rfam family "Bacterial small subunit ribosomal RNA", at positions 28 to 523 of the family's 1533-position model. The record is from RNAcentral.
GACGAACGCUGGCGGCGUGCCUAAUACAUGCAAGUCGAGCGGAUGGAAGGAAGCUUGCUUCCUAAAGUCAGCGGCGGACGGGUGAGUAACACGUGGGCAACCUGCCCCUAAGAUCGGGAUAACUUCGGGAAACCGGAGCUAAUACCGGAUAUGAUUAUGUCUCACAUGAGACAUAAUGGAAAGACGGUUUCGGCUGUCACUUAGGGAUGGGCCCGCGGCGCAUUAGCUAGUUGGUGAGGUAACGGCUCACCAAGGCGACGAUGCGUAGCCGACCUGAGAGGGUGAUCGGCCACACUGGGACUGAGACACGGCCCAGACCCCUACGGGAGGCAGCAGUAGGGAAUCUUCCGCAAUGGACGAAAGUCUGACGGAGCAACGCCGCGUGAGUGAAGAAGGUUUUCGGAUCGUAAAACUCUGUUGUUAGGGAAGAACAAGUACCAUAGUAACUGAUGGUACCUUGACGGUACCUAACCAGAAAGCCACGGCUAACUACGUGCCAGCCGCCGCUGUAA